Molecule: non-coding RNA, 64 nt
Organism: Myotis lucifugus (little brown bat)
Lineage: Eukaryota; Metazoa; Chordata; Mammalia; Chiroptera; Vespertilionidae
Source: Rfam
GGCCUCCCUCUGCAGGGCAAUCGAUCUGGGGGCCCUGGGAUCGAUCGCCCUGCAGAGGGAGGCC